UACGUAGGGUGCGAGCGUUAAUCGGAAUUACUGGGCGUAAAGCGUGCGCAGGCGGUUUCGUAAGUCCUGUGUGAAAUCCCCCGGCUCAACUGGGGAACUGCACAGGAAACUGCGAGGCUUGAGUUCGGGAGAGGGAAGCGGAAUUCCGGGUGUAGCGGUGAAAUGCGUAGAUAUCGUAAGGAAGACCAGUGGCGAAGGCGGGUCUCUGGACAGUUCCUGACGCUGAGGCACGAAGGCCAGGGGAGCAAACGGG
RNAcentral lists this ribosomal RNA (253 nucleotides) under uncultured bacterium. Its description in RNAcentral is "partial 16S ribosomal RNA". It matches the Rfam family "Bacterial small subunit ribosomal RNA", at positions 524 to 776 of the family's 1533-position model. The record is from RNAcentral.